RNAcentral lists this transfer RNA (71 nucleotides) under Pertusaria plittiana. RNAcentral's name for it is "tRNA-Asn". It matches the Rfam family "tRNA". Rfam says of the family: Transfer RNA (tRNA) molecules are approximately 80 nucleotides in length. The record is from RNAcentral. Lineage: Eukaryota; Fungi; Ascomycota; Lecanoromycetes; Pertusariales; Pertusariaceae.
GCCUUUAUAGCUUAGUGGUAGAGUGUGAUACUGUUAAUAUCGUUGCAAGUGUUCGAUUCACUUUAAAGGCU